RNAcentral lists this long non-coding RNA (316 nucleotides) under Elaeis guineensis (African oil palm). RNAcentral's name for it is "long non-coding RNA (EGUI_LNC078906)". Lineage: Eukaryota; Viridiplantae; Streptophyta; Magnoliopsida; Arecales; Arecaceae. The record is from RNAcentral.
GAGUAGACCGUUCGUAGUAGAAGUUCGGCUCUCGCGGGAGCUCGAUUGGGAUUCGGAAGGCGGUCGACUGCCGUGGGAACUUGGAUGGAGUCUGGUUACCAUAGAAAUCUCGCUGUCGGGGAAGCUCGGAUGCAGACGAAGUCCGAAAGAAAUUCGGAAAAUAGUUGGUUGCUGUAGAAGGUCGGCUAACAGUGGAGCCCGGAGGGCCUUUGGGGUGGCCCAGUGGAUGAGUGCAGAAGUUCAUUAUCGGAGAAGUCCGGACGGUCGAGGGGGUUCGGAGAGACGCCACACAUAAGAUCGGGAGCCGGAAGAGCCC